GAAUGUAGCGUCUAGAGUGGAGGUGUUGGAGCGGCUUUUGCAUUGAGUUUUGGAGCCAUUCUGGAAAUUGUUUGCAGUUGUUUUGGGACUUUUUGGUGCAUUUCUCAAGCUGUGGAAAGGUAGAGAGCUGAGCUUCAUUGUUUGCAUGCCUUUUAUUGUGUGUUCUGCAUUGUGGGUUGGUUUCCAAGCCUCCAGAACGGAUUAAUUGGCUUUCAAUGCAUUCCUAUGGGAAAACGUGUUUCGGUUUACAAAUUUUUCGCACUAAGAAACAUCCCGGAGAACGCAUUAAAUUCCUAAACCAAGGUCCCACUGUACUUUUAAGAAUUUGACUAGCAUACUGUUAGGGAAUAUGGAGCUUUACAUUGAUUUUUUAUUUUAGAUCUUUUAGAAAAUGUUUUUGGUUUUCUUUUUACAUUACUUGAUAUGAUAACAUUAUAAAUCUGGUUAGAGCAUUGGAAAUGUCACUGUCUUGGAACUAGGAAACCCAGGUUUGAUUCCUCACCACUAAGUGUCUACCUAAUUCAAAUCCGUAUAGAUUGUAAACUUGUUUGAGCAGGGCCUUCUUCACCUCUAAAUAUCCCCUUUUCUAUAUUUGUAAAGUGCUGUUGAAUAUGAUGGCACUAUAUACAUGAUAAUAAAAAUUAUAUCUUGUAACUUAUUUAAGGGCAGCACUGUAUAAUGGACAAAUGAUUUUAUUUGAGUCAACCACAAAAAAACAGAGGUCUGUGAAGGUUGAAAUUGUUAAACUAGGUAGAAACUUGGUAGAAUCCAUGUGUGUUCAGGUAAUUUCAGUUGUGGUGUGAUAAAACCCUUAUGAUGAUGUUAUGUUUCAGCUUUAGAAAGAUCUCACUGGUGAGAAAUGAUUGCAUCUUCCCAGAAAUGGAAGAUAAGGACGCAAGAUUGGCAGGUUAUCCGGGCAGAAUGGUUGGACAACGAAAGGGCCUGUGCCCUUUUCAUCUCAUCUUUAAGGUGGAUGUCCAAAGGGAGUUGUUUGUCUGUUCUGCCAGCUCUGAGGAUACCUCCGGUACUACGCUGCACUGAUUAGGGUAAUUUCUCAGGUAUCCCCAGAUUGAGAGCAUGAGAGAACAAAUACACGAUGGUGGGACAGAAGUCCAAAAUGGGGAAAGUCCUGCCACAUCUUGGACAGUUGUGAGGUAUGUCAUGUAUAGGAUAACAAUUAAAGGAUUGGGAGAAAAAGAUGGUUUCUCUUUCCAACAAGCAGAAAGGCUGGAAGAAGAGUUCCCACCACUCCCACAGUCUUGUUUAUAUAUUAGAUACUUCUAGCACUGGGGACCAUGUAGUAAUAAUAUUCUUUAUGACUUCAACUAGAUGUAAUUUGGAGAUCAAGUAUAUCUGAAGGAUUUAACAUUAAUCUGAAGCAAAUAAUAAAUGGCAGUAGAAACAGAUGAUAGUUUUUCUGAUGACUAUUGGCAGAUACUGAGUGGGUCAUUCUAGGUUCAGAGUACACAACUGGCUAUUUUAAUAUAGGGCUUGGAAAAGGUGUUGUUUUUUUUAAGAUCAUGCCGUACUCAAAACAGAAAUUGGUCUAGUCCAUGGUCUGGUCCAGAAGGCGCUAAUCUAGAUUUGAAUAUGCAAUUAGCUUUUUCAUAACUGUAUUAUUACUAAUGUCUAUAUAUAGUCCCCUGGAUAAGGGCGCUUUGUCAAUAACCUUAUAAAUAAAUAAACAUGUAUAUAUUUUGUGACUAUAUAGUCUUUCUUUUUUUCUUUUUAUCGAAUGAAUAUCUCUGACAAUAACAUGGGGGGUACACAACACUUAAAACAUGUUUAAAUAUUAUCAAACGUUUUUAUUUUUUCCUUCGGGUUCUUUUUUUUAUAUGGUUUGGGGUAUAAGCAAAGCAAACUUCAUUUGGCCAGUAGUGGAGCUGGGUAGAUUAGUAUAAAGCUAGGGUCAUUUGAAGUUUAUUCAUAAAACUAACUCCUGUGACUCAAUUCUGCUAUUUCCUACUUGGAAAUUCCCAGUUUAACAAAUAAACUAAUUUUCUCACGUAUUUCCCCCAAAUCAGCGCUGCGUCAGGCAAAUGUAUACUGAGCACUCUGAAUAAUUGGGGAAUGCAGUUAACAUAUUUAACCUCCUUUUUGAUUCUCGUUGUUGCAGCAAUAAUAUUAUAAUUUGCAGAUUUUUAAAAACAUGGAAAAAAAAUCUGCCUAUCAGGAAAGAGGAGGGACUUUGUGUUCUAAGCACAAGAUGUGUAUUGUACGAAUAUUAAAUAUUUUUUAGAAUAUCUGACGCUUUACAAAAAACAAAAAUACAUAUUUUAUGAACAAUUGUAUUCUCUGUUAUUUAUUUUUUUGUUGUGAUUUUUUUAGUGAAACACUUCAACAGUAACAGAAUUAUUUUAAUAGAGUGCACUACUUAUACCUCAACGUUUGAUGGUAAUGGUAGAAUUCUGAAAGACAAGCAAUCUAUACUGUUUGUUUAGCACUGAAUGAAAAAAAAACAGCUUGACACCAUUAUACAAGUAAAAUACAGUGUUUGCUAAUCACAACCAUAAAGACUAAAAAUGUAAUAAAUAGUUUAUACAUAAUGAAACAUUAAGAUGGAGAAUAGGCAUAUUUUGAAAGAUAAAACAGCUUAAUAAAACUUUGGAAAAACAUACUUCCAUUCUUUUUAAACACAAUAUUCUUCACUACCCAAUGACAAAGCAAUUCAAACUCUGAGGAGGCGCACCUCAAACAUUCCUUACUGGAACAAGUUAAGUUAAACGCUGCAGCGAUACACUUUCAUUCUGCCAGGCUCACAUUGCAGCAGUAAUGACUGCAGUAGUUAAGGCCAUUCUAGGAUUAAGAUAUGAUUGACACCGACUGAUGUUUUCUGAACUAUAAAAACAUUCUGCAAGAAUUAUUCUAAAGAAGAAAAAAAAUGGAUGGGGUCUGGCAUGAGUGGGCGUUUCAAAAUACCAUAAAGUACCACUGAAUUUUUUUUUAAUGUUUGAGGCAGAAAAACUGUCAAUUUUGAGUAAUGAAUCCAGACAAAUGGCAAAAUGAUUGUUUUUGCAGGACACCCUCCAAUCUGUGAUGACAUACUUAUGUGUACUGUUAAAACAACAUCGGCCAAAGUUUAAUAGGUGUUCUCAAAGUUAUUCCAUUUUACAGUAUUUUUUAUUGUUAGAAUGGCUUAAAGAGACACUAUAGUCACCAAAACAACUUUAGCUUAAGGAAGCAAUUUUGGUGUAUAGAUUAUGAUCCUACAGUCUCACUGCUCAAAUCUCUGCAAUUUAGGAGUUAAAUCCCUUUUAUUUCUGUCCAUGCCGCCCUAGUCACACCUCCCCUGGCUGUGACUCACACACCAUGCAUGGAAAAAAAUGGUUUCACUUUCAAUUAGAUUAGAAUUUGCAAUGAAGGAAGUAAACAUUAGCUGACUCUUUACAGGAAAUGUUUCGGAAGGCUGUGCAAGUCCCAUGCAGGGAGGCGUGACUAGGGUGCAUAAAUAAAGUGAUCUAACUUCUAAAUGGCAAAGAAUUGAGCUGUGACACUGCAGGGAAAUGGUCUAUACACCAAAACUGCUUCAAUAAGCUAAAGUUGUUUUGGUGACUAUGGUGUCCCUUUAAGGUGGAAAGUGAGAAAUGGUGGAUAUAAGGUAUAUGGCUGUUUGUUCCUAUUAUAUAUUCAUUUUAAAUAUCCUAACCCUUGUUAUGGUCAACAAAUUAUCUUUUUGUUUCUAGCUUUAUGGGAAAGUCGUUUAGCAGUUAUUUAAUAAAAUGGAAAGUGCGGAGGAAUGAACUGCAAAUGUUGAUCUAGAAUAUAAACAAUAGAAGAUAACUAAAUUGGAGAGUUUUUUCCCUUGUCAAUUCUUUACAAUUCCUAAAUAAGUGAAAACAUGUUUUAAUCAAUAAAUAGUGAUGAGUGGUGAAUUUAAAACAGAACUUCAAUUGUUGGGCUUUUUUUUUUGUCAAGAUUUUAUUUUCCACAGGUAUGCUGUAUCAGCCUAAAUUUGAAAUGCACACAUUUCAAUUUGGAAGUUUCAUUUUCUUAAUAAUAAACCUUUAGAAAUCAAAGUCUAUGUAAUGUCCCUGGCAAACUUGUUAUAAGUAGACAGAUACAACACACUGUAACACUUUGAAAAAGCCUUGCUAACAAGUGAAACGCGUUAGUGUUUUAUGCAGUCUUUUUUUGCUAUAUUGUUUUAUUUUAUUAAUCUCCAAUAAAGAUAGCGAAUAUUAGCUAUUUUGGUGCCUUCCAGCCUAUCCUUUUUAACGUCACAAUUUCAUCAUUAAGAACCUGAGGACUCGCAAGUGAUAUCCUUGGUGGGGAUUAUUCCACCUACGCUUCCUAUACUGAGCAAUAUUCCCUUUGCUCCCCGCAUGUGAGUAUACCUCCACUUUUUAUCCUAGUUUUAUUCCAGACUAUACAGGGAGCACUAUAUUGUGUUUUUAUUUCUCCUCCUAUACACUGAGGAUACCGGUUUGUGGCACUGACACCAGAACACCCUGACCCCAAAGAAGCCUCUGAGAGUACACCAGGACCAUCAUCAUAUCCUAGGACGGGGAUUGUACCCUCCAGGCGCAUAUAUCUGGAGCUGAAUAUAAGCUCCAGAAAAUUGUAAGUGCAAUAUUUUUUUCUUCAUUUAUCACUAUCAAGCAAUUCAACAUACUACACUAUAUCCAUGUCGUCUCUUCUCUCCCCUAUAUUUCACUGAGCUUGAGAAGACUACUAUAGGCGCUGCUUCCUGACACUACCUUCUAUAACUACCAUUCUGCCAGAAAAGAAGAGACUUUAGUUCCAGGGAAGUUCUAGCAGCCUUAUCACAAGCACUAAUACAUUCCAUCCCCCAAUUUCUUACCUGGGGAAUAACUAUCCACACAUUCUCACAGAGAAUAUUAGUAGUUUGAUAAUAAAUAUCAAUCUUUUCUUUAACUUAUACAAAGGCUAUAUACAAUCUAACUAUAAAGUAGAACUGUCACAUAUCUGGAAGUGACAGCUAUUUGUCCCCUUACCUCACAGUAAUUGCUAUUGAAGUUUUUACUGUAAAUGUAAAUAGUGAGGCAGAUUUUAACGGAAAGGAACACUCAAAGCACCAUAACCACUACAGAACACCUGUAAGCAUAAAAAAUGCACUUACCUCCUUCUGCGCUCAGGGUGAAAUUGACAAACCGUAACGCUUCAGGCAUGCGCAUGCACCUAGGCACCUGCUAAAAAAUUAUAUCCUUUCUUAGUUCUAAUCUCGGGCAUAUGUCAACACAUUUAGCACUGUAAGGGUUAAGUUAGCAUGGUAUGUUUCCACUGUGUCCAGCAAGUCAUGAACUCCAUGUAAACUAAAACUGUUAAAAAUUGCAAAAGAAAAAUUGUACAUUUUAACUUUAGUUAAAUAUAGGGUUAUACAUAAGUCUAACAUGUGACAAUUCCACUUUAAUCCCAUAAUGUUCACCAUUUUGGACGCACUAAGAAAUGUUACUAUGUUAAUUUGAAGAGACAGAAGCAAUACAAAAGUAAAGGAAUUCUGGCAAACUCAGUUUCCAUGUAACUGUAACCACUCGGCAGAGGCAUAACUACAAACCACGGGGCCCAGUGCGAAAAUUAGGUCUACCCUCCCAUAGGUCUACUCCCCCCCCCAUUCAUCUACUUCCCCCCCCAUACAUCUAAUUCUCCCCUUCCCCAAUAUGUCCACCCCCCUCACCACAAACACAUGCAGACAAACAGAUACACAUGCAGACACACACACACACACACAUACAUACAGACACACAUACAUAGAGACACACACACAUAUACAUACAGACACACAUACACACAGACAUACACACACAGUGACACAUACACAUACAUACAGACACACAUACACAAACACACACAUACAUAUAUAGAGACACAUACAUACAGACACACAUACAGAGACAUACAUACAGACAAACAUACACUAACACACACACAUGCAAAAUGUUUAAGUCACCCUCCUCUUUCCUACCUUUUAGGUGCAGGAGGGUGACUUUCCCUGGGGUCCAGUGGUGGCUCAGGCUGAAGGGAGUCAGAGUUCCCACUCCUUCCUCCCGCGUGGCUCUCUCUAAUAGCUGGGAGGAGUGGCUGUCACUUCCCCCCAUGUUUGAUGUCAUCACAGGGAGCCAGGUCGCGCUGUUAAAGCAGCGCUGAGCGGGGCACUCUGGAUAUUCAUUGCUAUCAGGAGGCCCUAACAGCAUGGGCCACCCGAUGGACCCUUUCAAUGUGGCCCGGUGGUUACACUGCAUGGGCCGGGGCUGCAACACAUGGCGGCGGGCACCCGGUCUCAGGGUUCUGCAAGGCGGCCGAGCCCCCUGAAAUGAUUGGCCCAGUCACAGCUGCAACCCCUGCAACCACGGUAGUUCCAGCAGUGCCACUUAGUAAGUCUUUGUAAGCCUUAAACAAUGGUUUAAUGGUUUAUUGAAGGAAGCAGGUGAACUCUGUUAAAGUGCUGUUAAAGCGCUGCAGUGCUGAGCGGGGCACCCUGGAUAUUCAUUGCCACCAGGAGGCCCUAACAGCAUGGGCCACCCGAUGGACCCUUUCAAUGCGGCCCGGUGAUUACACUGCACGGGCCGGGGCCACAACACAUGGCGGCAGGCACCCACCUGAAGUGAUGGGCCCUGUCACAGCUGCAACCCCUGCAACCGCGGUAGUUCCAGCAGUGCCACUCAGUAAGUCUUUGCAAGCCUUAACCAAUGGUUUAAUGGUUAAUUGAAGGAAGCAGGUGAACUCUGUUUUAUAUAUAUAUAUAUAUUAUUAUGUUUUUCAUAAAAAGUUUUUUUUAUUUUAUUGAACUUAUGAUGAAAAAACUCAAUAGUUUUUUAUUUGUAUUCUUUCUUGUCAGUGCUGAUUUAAAUCUCUCUCAAGACAUUCAUUAAAGUGUGAAUUGUCAGGAAUUUAGAGUUAUUUCUAAGUAAAUUUUACAUUUUGGGACAAAAUGGCUGAAGUGAAAAAAUUCUCUAAACCAGCUAGACUUUCAAUUCAGCUAGUUUGGAGUGAAAUUUAAAAUUCACAGGUUUAUUCACUAAACUCUUAAUUGCAACUAAUUGAAAUUUGAAUUGCAGAAUGUGUGCUAAAAUACCUAAUUUGGAGAAAUCUCGAACUUAGCUAUAGUCAAAGUUUGGCCAUUUUAACUUUUUUUUGUUUGUUUGCUCAUUUUUUUGCUCUUUGGUUUCAAUUCGGAUUUUAUUCACAAAACAGCUGAUUGCAGCAAACUCAAAUCUGAAUGGCAAAAUAAAGGCUAAAAGAACAAACUGUGACUUUUUUUCUAAUUCGGCUAAUUUAUCCUUCAAUUUUCAUCCGACAGGGAGGCUAACGCGCAUGUGCAUUGCUUCAAUGCUUUCCAAAGGGGUUUUACUGACGCUGGAUGUCCUAAUGCAGAGCGUGAGAACAUCCGGUAUCGGUUAGGCAAACAAAAGUCACCUAGCAAGCAGGAAGUGCCUCUAGUGGCUGUCUGAUUGACAGCCACUAGAGGCAGUCUUAGUACUGCCAUGUAAUCAUUGCCGUUUCUCAAACUUGCUAAAAGAGCCAAACCAGGAUUCGAGUUGAGUUGGAGAAAUUUGCGAAAUCAACUAAAUUUUUUUAUAUUUGGCUGCCCAGUUUUUUAGCUGCCAUUUGUAAUUUAGUAAAUAAACCCCUUGCUGUUAAUGUAACCAGUAAUAAACUAAGGAAAGUUAACCAGGCGUUGUUUGAUGAGCCUUGGAAAAAAAAAGAAAUCGGUUACCUAUUGCUUAAAUACAUUUUUACACUCAAGAUAAACACAUUUUUCUCGCAAUUAUGCCCCAUUCUUCCACAUGAUGACCUUCAGUCUGAAAAUGAACAUUUAAACUUUUCUAAAAAAAUACGGAAAGUGUACAUAGAGACUUGUAUUUUCGUGACACUAAUUGUGUCUUUUCUUGCAGUUCUUUACCAUAUUUCUUGGAAAACAGCAGCUGUGUUUGUUCAGAUCGAAGCAUAUGCAUGACUUGAUGAUAGAGUAAUCUGUAAGAAUUCCUAGAGUCGCCAUUCUUUAUGGCUUCUGAGAAUAACAAGCAGUGUGCUUUGUGGGGAUAAAGAACCAUAAAGUCAUGAGUAAUUAUUACAUUACCCCUAUGGAUAUUGUAUUAUCUGUCUAGUAAAGACAUUGUUAAACAAUCAUAUGUUGCAUUAUUAUAACACAAUACAGAAACAGUCCUUAUUAUUGUAUUAUAUAUUGUCUUCACACAGAAUGUUUUGAUUUUCUGGUAGUUGUUAUUAAUGCAUAUUAGCCUGUCGAUAACAGGACAACAAUGAGAGAAACCAUAAUGUAUUAUUAGCGCUUUACAAAUAUACAAAGGGGUACUUAAAAGGUGAAGAAGGUUCUGCUCAAAUGAGGGUUUGAGGUAGGUGGAUAUUUAUCCUUAGGUGUCUUAUCCAAGGACACUUACUGGUAAGGGUUCUAAACAGCCUAUUUAUAUUUAUUUUAAAAUAUUUUAUACUGGAAUGUCCAUACUGUUAGCAGUCACAGCAUGAUUUUAAUUGCUAUAAUAUACAUUUCAAAGAGAUGAAAUCAUGUUUCUGAAUUGGAGAAUUUGGAAUCUACUCAUAAGCUAUUACCCCCUAAACCAGGGGUCGGCAACCAUCGGUAUUCCAGACAUUGUGCACAGAGCAGCCAGGGCUGAAGCGCCCUACGACAGUUUCCUGGUGUCCUCAGGUGUGCUACACUGGAGAACUAAAUCAAGAUGGUGGGAUAUAACCCCAAAAUUGGGACUGCUCUACCAAAAUCGUGACUUUUAGUGGAACAUAGUUUCCAAGUGAAGACAUGGAGAGGCCAGCAGAGGCACAGCAUUAGUUGUACUUAUCAAAAAGAGGAAUGUUUGUGCAUUUAAAUAAAAUAAUAUUGUGGCACUCAUAUUUUGUCAUAUUCUGAGUGAUCCAUAUAAAUAUAUCAAAUUAGACAAAGUAUAGUAAAAUGUAUGGAUUUAUAAUAUAGAGAGAGAACACUGGUCAUAGUGUUUUGAUUUUAUGUUUCCCUUAUUCCCUCUGUAAUGCGUUCAGGAUAAUUAUUUUUGUGUGAAUAGGUAGCUGUUUUAACUAUCCAUGCAUGACAUUACUUAACACCGUCAUUAAGUAAAUGUGGUGUUUUCUGCUCAUGGUAACAGGGGAAAGUAAAAAGCUGUAAGGACCACCCUAGUUUGAAACCAACUCAUCAUUUACUCUAAGAAUCCUCUGUAAAGAGCAAACAUUUGGAAAACUAAAUAAAAAGUGAAAUAGGCGACACAGUUCAUUGGAUGAAAUUUCCCCCCCCCCCCAAAAAAAAAAAAACCUGCCAUCUUUUCUCGAAGAAGAAGAAGAAGAAAUUAAACUCCUAAACUCCAGAACGUACUUUCUCUGUAGUCAGGUACCCUUUACGAACAAUUAAAAAUAAAAAAUCCAAUCACUGGAUAUGUUUCAACAUUUUAACUACGCCUUUAAUUUCUCACAGGAGCAAACAUCCAUUUUCUGAACCCAGGACAAUUAAUCACAUGGAAUUUAAUCAGUAGGGUAUGCUGGGAGUGUUUUUACAAAAAGAAACAACAAAUGUGUACAUUGCUACUAUUAUAACAUCAAGUUGACUGAAACAAACACCUGAGCAUUGAAUAAAUUGCUUGGCUCUCAUUCUAGAUUCAUUUCUACUUUGAGAAAUGUAUUCACCAAAGAAUUCACUAAUGUUGAUACUUUGCCAGCCUACGCUAUGCGCACCCUUAGGUGUACAGGCAGUGAAACCAUUUACAACGCAUUUCAUUUCACAGGUUCUAUGCUGUAAUAUCUGUCAUUUAUGUUAUUCAAUGCACUACACUAGAUCAUUUAUGUUUAACCCCUUAAAACCGGAGGGCGUACUAUUACUCCCUAUUCUAAGCAGCUCUAAAUGCCGCAGUACGCCCUCACGGUUUUUGUUACUUACUCGGGAUCCCAGGGAGUCCCCCGCGGCGGAUCCUGCCCCCUCCGGUCCCCCCCCCCGGCCAUGUGAGAGUGAGGUCCUUGUGAGGGUUAGCUGGCUGCUGCAUUGCCAGCAGGGGGACUGCCUGUAAUGACAGUUAGUCCCCCUGCUGGCUGGAAAUCAAAUCAAAUAAAGUUAAAAUCAGUGUAAAAAAACCCCCAAAAUUAUAUACUUAGAUCAUAUAUAUAUAUAUGAUCUAAGUAUAUAUAUACACAUAUACAUACACACACAUACACUGUCUAGGUAUUUAUAUAUAUAUAUAUAUAUAUAUUAAUAUCAAAUUGCACGUAGACUGAUAUUGAUUAAAUAUAUAUAUAUAAUUAUUGUUUUAUAUAUAUAUAUAUAUAUAUAAUAUAAAAAAAUAAUGUAAAUACGUUAAAAAUAAAAAUUUUAAAUAAUGAAAAAUAAAUAAUUAAAAAAUAUAUAGAUGUGUGUUAUUUCGUUCUUACUGUAUUGUGAUAUUAAUAUAUAUAUUUAUAUCAAAAUACACAUAGACGAAAUAAUAUAUCUAGAUAUAUAAAUAUAUACGUAUAUAUCACUAUAUAUAAAUAAAAAUAUUUUUAAAAAAUUAUAUAUAUAUGUAUAUUGACAUAUAUAUACACAUACGUAUGUAUAUAUAUAUAUAUAUACAUAUAUAUAUAUAUAUACAUAUAUUAAUUCUACAUAUAUAUUUAUGUAAUAUUUUUACAUAAUUAGGUAUUUUAAUUAAUUACAAUUAGCGGGACCUCCCUGACAACCCAAUGCCGAAAGUAAAGGGAAUUUAAUUUGCUAGCACUAUAUUUAACCCUAUAACUUUCCAACACACCAUAACACCUGUACAUGGGGGGUACUGUUCUACUCGGAAGACUUCGCUGAACACAAAUAUUAGUGUUUCAAAACAGUAAAAUGUAUAACAACGAUGAUAUCACCAGUAAAAGUGAAGGUUUUUUUGCAUUUUUCACACACAAACAGCACUUACAUGGAAGAUAUUAUUGCUGUGAUACUUCUUACUGUUUUGAAACACAAAUAUUUGUGUUCAGCGAAGUCUCCCGAGUACAACAGUACCCCUCAUGUACAGGUUUUAUGGUGUUUUCAAAAGUUACAGCAUCAAAUAUAAGGCUUGUGUUUCAUUUUUUUCAUAUUAAAAUUCACCAGAUUGGUUACGUUGCCUUUGAGACCCUAUGGUAGCCCAAGAAUGAAAAUUACCCCUAUGCAAAUGAGGUAUGUCCAGUCUUUUUUGGUAGCCACUUAGUCAUAAACACUGGCCAAAAUUGGCAUUUUUUGCAUUUUUCACACACAAACAAAUAUUAACGCUAACUUUGGCCAGUGUUUGAGACCAAAUGGCUACUAAAAAAGACUGGACAUACCCCAUUUGCAAUACCUUGGGUUGUCUACUAUUGCAAGUGGUAUGCCAUUAUGGGUGUAAAUUUCAUUCCUGGGCUACUAUACAGUCUCAAAGGCAACGUAACCAAUCUGGCGAAUUUAAAUUUCAAAUGUAACGUGCUAUAUUUGACCCUGUAACUUCCCAAAACGCCAUAAAACCUGUACAUAGGGGGUACUGUUUUACACGUGAGACUUUGCUGAAUACAAAUAUGUGUAUUUUAUUGCAGUAAAAGCAAACAGUAUUAUGACAUUGACAGUUAAAAUGUCAUGUAGAACUAAAAAAAUAACAAAAUUUCUUAUUUUCUCCCAUUUUGUUUCAUAUUAAAUUAUGUUUCAUAGCUAAAUAUUUGAUAUUAAAUGAAAGCCCUGUUUCCCCUGAAUAAAAUGAUAUAUAAUAAGGGUGGGUGCAUUUAAUAUGAAAGAGGUGAAUAACGGUUGGACAGACAUGUAGCGCAAAUGCCAGGUUUUGUUUACGUUUUGUUUUGUUUUGUUCACAACUUGUACAUUUGGCUCAGUCCUUAAGGGGUUAAAGAGGAACUUAAACAUUAUUCACAACAUAUAAUUUGUGUUUAAACACAAUAGUGAACUAAAAGUUAGCCUUGCAGUCAAAACAUACCAUGCAAGUGUGCAAGUAUGGCUAUAUGGACUAUAGAAAGAAUGCCUGAGUGUGCAUAAGUGUUCUGGAGCAUUCUGGUACGACACACCAUAAGUAGAUCAGUGGUGCAAAGGUAAGUCCACUUUAUACUUACCACUGUUACCCUAUUCAUUCAGUGGAUAUAAGGAACUGUCAGCGUAGCCGUUUCAUCCCAGCAUAAUAGUGCUACAUUAAGUGACUCAUUGUGUCAUUCUUGCAACAUCAUUGAUGCAUCAUGUUCUGUUCCAAUGUCACAAAAGUAUGUCUUGCGACUGAUUCAGACCACUUCCCCCGUAGCCACACUUUUAGCCCAUACGAUGCAGACAUGGCAUGCUUAUUCUGGUUAUCAACUUUAGCUGUCUGGGUUUAUUGACUAUUCUGACCUAUCCAAUCCUGAUCUUUGCUGCUUCACCCUCUCUACCAUUAUUCUGUAAAUCUUCAACCUCGUCUUGAUGCUUGACCAAGCAUCCUCUGUUUCAUAAGUUUUGUAGAAAUUGCAAUGUUUCCAUCCUCUAGUAGCUGUCUUCCAAAGAAGCAUUUGAUUGGCACAGUGCGGAUAAUUUGUGCAACUGCACACCAGCCUCCAAAUGCUUGCCUAUGGGGCAGCAAUGUAUUGUCUGAGAUCAUUAAUCCUGGAUUGUCUGAGAUCAUUGGUGAGGGAGUAAAGGUGAGUAAUACUCACCUUUCAAGCCAUCAAAAUGCGGUGGUGGACACCAACAUGGGUAGAGUAAAACAAUAGAGUUAUAGAGUUAAUACACAAUGCCAUAGUGUUCCUUUAAACCCGGUUACCUCCAAGAAACAGUAAUAUUUUAUUUAUCUUUCCUAGAUUUACGUGUUGGGACGUUAUAAUAUCCUGUCACAUCUAGAGAAGAGAUAGUUGUGCUGUAAUGGCCGACAUGACCGGAAGAUAUCCAAUUGAUUUUUGUUUUUAGUGGAUAAUUGAUAUAUCUUAAACCUGCUCAUUUAGGGAUUGGAUCUGCAACCACCCGCCUUUAGAUAUUGACUAUAUGCAUGUAAGAUGGGCACGAUCAGGUACGUCUCUUUAUGCAGUCAAGAUUGCUGAUUGGUGGAUAAUCGAUAAACACAAGGAAAAUUAUAAAAUGAAAGAAAAUCCAUAAACUACUGUAGGCUCUAAAACACAAUGUAUUGCUGUUAAGGCAUAAACACUGUUAUAUUACUGUGUAAUAACUCACAAAAUCAUUUUCUUUAAAUCAUUUAUUUUAAGAUAAUUUAUUUAUCUGCCUUUUCUUUCUCAUUACUACUUAUAAAACAUCAAAUGUACACUGGAAUAGGGGUCAAUGUAAAUUGUACAUAUGUCCUGAAAAGGUUUGCCUCUGCUGUUUAAAUUUUGGCUAAACUUUUAGUGGGUAAUUUUCUGUCCAAUUGCAUGUUGGGAUUAUAGAAUAAUUACUUUUUAUUUGCAAGAACAUCUGUUAAUUCCCACUGGAGACUAAUGGUUCUAAUUUUCACUUGUUUCACGUUCAAAAUGUUAGAAAAGAUAUCCGUAAAAUAAUGUUUUCAGCUUGUUUAUGUAUGGUUCUGUUAUUUUCCUUUUGUGCCUGAAUGUUUUUAUAAGUGCAGUCUAUUUGGAUUUAAUAAACGUAAACAAAAUAGACACAAUUGUAAAAAUAAAAACCUUACUUUUGGAAAAUAAAAACAUUGUAUAAAUUAUCUAGAUGCUGUUUUGCAAUAGUUGUUUACGUGACCUGAAACUCAAUUUUUAAAUAUGCCAUCGAAUAGUCUCAUUGUCAUUUAUCAUAGGUUGUAAAAGUAUUUUUUCCUUACAUAAUAGCUUAAAAUAUAUGUGCUGAGUUUUCUCUUUUUUAAACUUUUGUUGUUUCAAACGUUCCCCCAACGUGUAGUUUCUUCAAAGCAGUACCCCAUGCAUGAUUUCGAUUAUGGAAUUCUCACAUCUGUUACCAACUUUACUUACGUAAACUAUUUUUAUUUGAAAUGUUUGUCACUGAAGGAAAACAAAGAAACUUCUCUAAAUUAUGUCAAACAAAGUAAACAAGUCAAUUUGCCUGCCAAAAAAACCUCCUAACAGGUCGAUUCCACUUCAUAGAAACUAAAACUAAUCAGACCAAAUGUUUUUAUUGACUCUGGUGAGACUAUGAUUCAUCUGCUAAUCUGCAUGUCUCUGUAAUAUAAAUGAGUCAAUCAGUUAUAUAACUGUUCAAUAGAAUUAAGGCUGUGAAUUUUGGAUGCGGUACACAGCGAGUAAAGAAAAGAAAAUAAUGAAUUCUUGUUUGUUUGUCUUGCGUUAUGUUUCAUUAAAUAUAAACAAAGUUAAGAUAUGAAUAGUAUAUUGUUUUAUCCAACAAAAACAUAAUAAUUGUGAUAUGUCUCAUUUAUAACCCUGCAAACUACGUAUAACAGAAACAAAGAAAUGGCGUAUUGUAAUGUGUUGCUUUUGAACUGUAGCAAGCAAUUCAUGAUCAGAUGUUUAGAAUGUUGGUUGCAUUCUCUUCAGAUGCUAAUUGAUUUCCUUGACAUCUCUUUUUAGUCUGGCACAGUGCCCGCCUAAGUACUUUGUCUGACCUUUUAGACCUCAUGCCAGAUAUCGAUUGAGAAUCUACAAUAGCAACGUUGUAUCUUCUCUUCAAUCUUUGAUAAUCUGCCAACAAGAGAGAGACAGGAAGUCAAUCGGUUGCAAAUGUUCUAUUAAUGUCUGUAUAUUAGUAUAUCCUUAU
Molecule: non-coding RNA, 14578 nt
Organism: Pelobates cultripes (western spadefoot toad)
Lineage: Eukaryota; Metazoa; Chordata; Amphibia; Anura; Pelobatidae
Source: the annotation of a GenBank genome assembly